GACGAACGCUGGCGGCGUGCCUAAUACAUGCAAGUCGAGCGCAGGAAGCCGUCUGAACCCUUCGGGGGGACGACGGUGGAAUGAGCGGCGGACGGGUGAGUAACACGUAAAGAACCUGCCCAUAGGUCUGGGAUAACCACGAGAAAUCGGGGCUAAUACCGGAUGUGUCAUCGGACCGCAUGGUCCGCUGAUGAAAGGCGCUCCGGCGUCGCCCAUGGAUGGCUUUGCGGUGCAUUAGCUAGUUGGUGGGGUAACGGCCCACCAAGGCGACGAUGCAUAGCCGACCUGAGAGGGUGAUCGGCCACACUGGGACUGAGACACGGCCCAGACUCCUACGGGAGGCAGCAGUAGGGAAUCUUCCACAAUGGACGAAAGUCUGAUGGAGCAACGCCGCGUGAACGAUGAAGGCUUUCGGGUCGUAAAGUUCUGUUGUAAGGGAAGGACAAGUGCCACAGGCAAUGGCGGCACCUUGACGGUACCUUGCGAGAAAGCCACGGCUAACUACGUGCCAGCCGCCGCGGUAA
This 524-nucleotide ribosomal RNA is filed under the name uncultured bacterium. Its description in RNAcentral is "partial 16S ribosomal RNA". It matches the Rfam family "Bacterial small subunit ribosomal RNA", at positions 28 to 523 of the family's 1533-position model. The record is from RNAcentral.